GACGAACGCUGGCGGCGUGCUUAACACAUGCAAGUCGAACGGUAAGGCCCUUCGGGGUACACGAGUGGCGAACGGGUGAGUAACACGUGGGUGAUCUGCCCUGCACUUCGGGGUAAGCCUGGGAAACUGGGUCUAAUACCGGAUAGGACCACUGCCUGCAUGGGUGGUGGUGGAAAGCUUUUGCGGUGUGGGAUGGGCCCGCGGCCUAUCAGCUUGUUGGUGGGGUGAUGGCCUACCAAGGCGACGACGGGUAGCCGGCCUGAGAGGGUGACCGGCCACACUGGGACUGAGAUACGGCCCAGACUCCUACGGGAGGCAGCAGUGGGGAAUAUUGCACAAUGGGCGCAAGCCUGAUGCAGCGACGCCGCGUGAGGGAUGACGGCCUUCGGGUUGUAAACCUCUUUCAGCACCGACGAAGCGCAAGUGACGGUAGGUGCAGAAGAAGGACCGGCCAACCACGUGCCAGCCGCCGCAGUAA
This 478-nucleotide ribosomal RNA is filed under the name uncultured bacterium. Its description in RNAcentral is "partial 16S ribosomal RNA". It matches the Rfam family "Bacterial small subunit ribosomal RNA", at positions 28 to 523 of the family's 1533-position model. The record is from RNAcentral.